AACAGAUUUUUCUAGGUUUGAGGUCUGCAGUGUGAAGAUCUGUGAAAUGCAAAAAGAGAAUGCUUCAGUGCCCAGGGCAAACAUAAGGGGCGGGGGAACUGCAUGGACUUCAGAAAAGAAGGGGGCUGGUUAGUGAGAGCAAAUGUAUGCUCCUUAGCUCUGUCCAAAGAGGAAGGGUAUUUCUUAUAAUAAAUGUCAUGCUCAUGACUGACAUGUAUUGGGCGUUUACUAUGGACUAGGCCCUAUUUCUAAGUGUUCUCCAGAUAUCAUCACGUAUAAUUCUAGAGGCAGUGUCAGACCCCGGCCAAUGACCACCAUGGACCUCCCUGUAGUUGAACAAAGUUGGGUUUGCUGACUGGUGGCAGUGAGGGAGAAUGCACACCACAGGGAGCUGUGCAGUGUCUCAGUAAGAAGCCAGGAGCCAUCCCAUGAGGCCGUUACUGCAAACAAGCUGAAAAUCCUGCUUUGUUUCUUUUGGACACAACAUGCUUUCCUUCAGCUUCAGUAGACGAUGAGGCCAGCACCACAUGGGCUAGAUGUACAUGAGAUGUGAGCAACCACACUUCCCCUCUGACGGGGACAGACAGCAUCACAGGACAUGAAGUUCUAAGAGUUUCAGUGACUUGUCUAAGAUUAAACAGCUAUGAAUGGAGAACUGGAGGAAAAUGCCUCAUCAUCUCUCACCUGGGCAACUGCAACAAUGAGCAGCUUGUGUCUGUGCCUGCAUCCAUCCUUCCAUCCUGUUCUCCAGCAGCAGCCAGGGUGGUCUUUCAAAAAUGCAAAGCUGAUAAUGUUACUCCCCUGCUGUAAACCUUCCAGCGGUUUCCUAUUGCCUUCAGAAUAAAAUACGAAUCGUCCGGCCUCCAUCUAUCUCUCCAGGCUCAUCCUCUCUCAAUUUUCCAUAUCCUUCAGUAUCCUGAUGGGACAGACAGAUGAAGAACCAGAGACCCAGAGAGGUUAAGUAGCUUGCCCAAGGUCACGCAGCAGUGUAAGCAGUACGGACGAUUCUUAAGCCCACAUUGUUUGACUUCUGAGACAUAUCAGAAAACUACAUCAAAGAACACGCACAACUCAGACCUAUUUCCAGUGGCCUAUGCAGAAGAGCUACCCUGCUUGAAUGGAAACCCCUUAAGAUAUACUAUUCUCGAAAACCUAAGUGCUUAGCCUGGUUUAUGGAGGAGGCAAUGCAAUCUACCACAAGAUGAUUAAGACAACAAUGAACUUAAGUCCCAGCCACUGCUGGAGAAUAUCUGCCUGUGAAUUCAAUUUGGUUCAAUUCAAUCCGAUUUAAUUCAGUGCAGUUAUU
This 1306-nucleotide long non-coding RNA is filed under the name Pan troglodytes (chimpanzee). Its description in RNAcentral is "long non-coding RNA NONPTRT000179". Lineage: Eukaryota; Metazoa; Chordata; Mammalia; Primates; Hominidae. The record is from RNAcentral.